GACGAACGCUGGCGGCGUGCCUAAUACAUGCAAGUAGAACGCUGAAGGAGGAGCUUGCUUCUCUGGAUGAGUUGCGAACGGGUGAGUAACGCGUAGGUAACCUGCCUGGUAGCGGGGGAUAACUAUUGGAAACGAUAGCUAAUACCGCAUAAGAGUAGAUGUCGCAUGACAUUUGCUUAAAAGGUGCAAUUGCAUCACUACCAGAUGGACCUGCGUUGUAUUAGCUAGUUGGUAAGGUAACGGCUCACCAAGGCAACGAUACAUAGCCGACCUGAGAGGGUGAUCGGCCACACUGGGACUGAGACACGGCCCAGACUCCUACGGGAGGCAGCAGUAGGGAAUCUUCGGCAAUGGACGGAAGUCUGACCGAGCAACGCCGCGUGAGUGAAGAAGGUUUUCGGAUCGUAAAGCUCUGUUGUAAGAGAAGAACGAGUGUGAGAGUGGAAAGUUCACACUGUGACGGUAUCUGACCAGAAAGGGACGGCUAACUACGUG
RNAcentral lists this ribosomal RNA (495 nucleotides) under uncultured bacterium. RNAcentral's name for it is "partial 16S ribosomal RNA". It matches the Rfam family "Bacterial small subunit ribosomal RNA", at positions 28 to 507 of the family's 1533-position model. The record is from RNAcentral.